RNAcentral lists this ribosomal RNA (229 nucleotides) under uncultured bacterium. Its description in RNAcentral is "partial 16S ribosomal RNA". It matches the Rfam family "Bacterial small subunit ribosomal RNA", at positions 620 to 847 of the family's 1533-position model. The record is from RNAcentral.
CGGCCAAGUGAUACUGCUGUGCUAGAGUGCGGAAGAGGCAACCGGAAUUCUUGGUGUAGCGGUGAAAUGCGUAGAUAUCAAGAGGAACACCUGAGGCGAAGGCGGGUUGCUGGGCCGACACUGACGCUGAUGCGCGAAAGCCAGGGGAGCAAACGGGAUUAGAUACCCCGGUAGUCCUGGCCCUAAACGAUGAAUACUUGGUGUCUGGAGUUUCAAUGCUCCGGGUGCC